Molecule: ribosomal RNA, 253 nt
Filed under: uncultured bacterium
Lineage: Bacteria
Description: partial 16S ribosomal RNA
Rfam family: Bacterial small subunit ribosomal RNA
Source: RNAcentral
UACGUAGGGGGCAAGCGUUGUCCGGAAUUAUUGGGCGUAAAGAGCGCGUAGGCGGUCCGGUAAGUCGGCUGUGAAAGUCUAGGGCUCAACCCUGGAAGGCCGGUGGAAACUGUCGGGCUAGAGUCCGGAAGAGGCGAGUGGAAUUCCCGGUGUAGCGGUGAAAUGCGCAGAUAUCGGGAGGAACACCAAUGGCGAAGGCAGCUCGCUGGGACGGUACUGACGCUGAGACGCGAAAGCGUGGGGAGCAAACAGG